RNAcentral lists this ribosomal RNA (465 nucleotides) under uncultured bacterium. RNAcentral's name for it is "partial 16S ribosomal RNA". It matches the Rfam family "Bacterial small subunit ribosomal RNA", at positions 338 to 795 of the family's 1533-position model. The record is from RNAcentral.
CCUACGGGCGGCUGCAGUAGGGAAUUUUCCACAAUGGGCGAAAGCCUGAUGGAGCAACGCCGCGUGGGUGAAGAAGGUCUUCGGAUCGUACAACCCUGUUGUUAGAGAAGAACGUGCGUGAGAGUAACUGUUCACGUUUCGACGGUAUCUAACCAGAAAGCCACGGCUAACUCCGUGCCAGCAGCCGCGGUAAUACGUUGGUGGCAAGCGUUAUCCGGAUUUAUUGGGUGAAAAGGGAACGCAGGCCGUAUUUUAAGGCUGAUGUGAAAGCCUUCGGCUUAACCGGAGUAGUGCAUUGGAAACUGGUGGACUUGAGUGCAGAAGAGGAGAGUGGAACUCCAUGUGUAGCGGUGAAAUGCGUAGAUAUAUGGAAGAACACCAGUGGCGAAAGCGGCUCUCUGGUCUGUAACUGACGCUGAGGUUCGAAAGCGUGGGUAGCAAACAGGAUUAGAUACCCGGGUAGUC